Molecule: RNA transcript, 2190 nt
Organism: Macadamia integrifolia
Lineage: Eukaryota; Viridiplantae; Streptophyta; Magnoliopsida; Proteales; Proteaceae
Gene name: UBP1-associated protein 2B-like
Exons: 3
Source: RefSeq, a predicted model, not a curated record
AUGGCGGCCAACAUGCUUCUUAUAUCUCAGCUCCCUUCUACGCAGAAGUGAGAGAAAAAGAAGAGAACAAAAAUUUCAGCUCCCGAUCAUGAUUUAAGGAAUCAGUAUUGGUAUUGGCCUGAAAUUGGUAUUGCAAUAAUCUGCCGAGAUUCCGAUAUGAAUCGUCUCAGGCGAUCCGAUACCGAUUCAGCAAAACCAUGCUCCGGAAUACUGGUAAAACUGUCGGCGCUUUAACUUCUCUUGAUUUAGAUCGCAAAACCCUAAAACCCAUAAUCUGUAGAGAGAGAGGAAGAGAGAUCACCAGUUCCUAUUCUCCAAUGGCGAGGAAGAGAAAGGUUACUUACAAAGUAGAACAAUCUUCUUCCGAUGAUGAUGAAAAGCUAAAAAUCUACGAAUCCGAAGAUCAAUCCUCUGAAGAAGAAGAAGAAGAAGAAGAGGAGGAGGGGGAGGAGGAGGAGGAGGAGGAAGAAGAAGACGAAGACGAAGAUGAAGACGAAGACGAAGAAGAGGAGGAGGAAGAAGAAGAUGAACAAGAAGAAGAAGAAGAGAAAGAUGAAGACGAAGAUGAUGAAGAAGAAGAGGAGAAAGACGAAGCUUCGAAGCGAGAACUAAUUCGUAAGCUCUUGGAACCUUUUGGGAAAGACCAAUUAAUCGAAAUUCUCAAAGAAGCUGCCCUCAAGGACCGCUCAGUCAUCUCUAAUAUCAGCAAAGCUGCAGAAUCCGACCCUGUUCAUCGCAAGAUCUUCGUUCAUGGCCUUGGCUGGGACUCCACUUCUGAAAACCUAGUUUCAGCUUUUAAACAAUAUGGUCAGAUUGAAGAAUGCAAUGUUGUCACUGAUAAGGUUACUGGAAAGUCCAAGGGCUAUGGAUUUGUGCUCUUCAAGACCCGUAAAGGAGCUCGAAAGGCCCUUCAGCAGCCUCAGAAGAAGAUUGGGAACCGCAUGACUGCUUGCCAGCUUGCCUCGUCGGGUCCUGUGACAAGUAAUCCAGCACCUGAUGCAACUGGUCGCAAGAUCUAUGUAGCCAAUGUUGGCCCUUAUAUAAACCCAGAGAAGCUUCGAGCUUUCUUCGCUAAAUUUGGGGAAAUAGAGGAAGGGCCACUGGGUUAUGAACGCAACACUGGGAAGCUUAAGGGUUUUGCGAUUUUUGUGUACAAGACGCAAGAGGGAAGUAGGAAGGCAUUAGAGGAGCCAACAAAAAUGUUUGAAGGUUGCACAUUGCAGUGCCAGAGAGCAGCUGAAGGGGUCAAGGCUAAUAAGAGUCAGCCAGUGGUUGCAGGGGGUUCCGUGGCAUUUCCGCCAAACGAUCUUGCUUUGAAUUAUGCAAUGGGAUUGAAUCCAGGAAUGAUGUAUCAGAGUUUUAAUCCGGCGGCUAUGGUUGGUCAGAAUCCAGGGAUGGGUAUGUUGAAUCCUGCAAUGAGUGCAUCAUUGAAUCAAGGAGGUGUGACUUCCUCUGUUGGUAGUGGAUUGUCGCCUUCUGUGAAUAGAAGCGGAACUCCAACAGUGGGAUUGAGUGCAGCCUAUGGUGGUCACUCGAGUAUCAAUAGCUUUAGUCCAAGUGUGAUUGGUAGUUAUGGUUCUCAGGCGGCUUUGCAUGGGCUGGGUGCUUACCAGAGUGCCCAAAUGGGACAGUCCUCUGCGGGAGCAAGUCCAGCAACAAGGUCUCAACCUGGUCUUGGGCUGAUAGGAACAAUGCCUUCUUACUUUGGACGAUAGGGAAACCUUCUGGGGAUGCCAAGGCUGGAGUUGGUGGGAUUCCUUCUCCGCAGUUGGGUGAGAACUGAGAAGCCUAACCCAUCUUCUACUUUUCUUUUUAUCUUUUUCUCCUUCCAUUAAAGAUAAUAUCAUAGUGCAGGAACAGCCACCACAUCUAUCCAUCGAACCCCCCUAGUAGUGGCAAUUCAUUGCCUUUUGGUCUCCCGGCAGAAACUUACAUGCCCUAGUUUCUGUUUCUUUUCCAGUUCUUAUUCCUAUACUCCCAUACUACUUUGUUCCUUAGUUGCUUACGGAUAUUUAUGUAAAUUUUUAUUUUAUUUUCCGUUGUUGGAGUUGGAUAAUGUAGAGAUGUUCUUUUCACUUACAGUUUUAGAAUCUAAUUAGUAGUCUUUCUAUUCUUAUUUAUAUGAUAACAUGUAACCCUAGCGGGGGGAUAAAUUUUGAUUUGCUUGGUUGAUGGUCUGUUUACUGGUUC